GACCCAUGCUGUCCCAUUGAUGUUUCUACGCAAUGUUCCCCACUCUGUGCCCCUCUGUCCCCAUAACAUCCCACACAGUUUUCCUUAUGCUGUCCCCAUGCUGUCCGCAUGACAUCUCCUAUUUCAAAUUGUCCUGAUGUCCCGUACUGCUUUCCCUAGUGUCCCCACCAUGCCUCUGUGAUGUUGCAUUUGCUUUCCCAGUCCUCUCCCCGUUAUGUCUGCCACCACCUUCAUGAUAACUCAUGCUGUCUUUUCAGACUGUCCCCACACUGUCCCUAUGUUGUUUUCCCCAUGCUAUCAGCACAUCAUUCCCAUGCUGUACCUGCACUGUCCCCAAAUCUAUCCAAAUGUUGUCCUCAAACCUGUCGCUCCCUUGUCUCCACCCUAGUCUGCUCUAUCCUCACCCUGUCCCCAUGGUCCCACUGGCUGUGGUGGCAUCCCAUGGUGCUCACCCGCUGUUCCUACAGGGUCACACCUUCCUCAGACCACCUUCCUCACACCUUCCUCGCUGCCCUCUGACCUUGUGGUUCAGUGACACUGUGCUCCCACCCUCCCUGCGCUGGAGGACUCAUGGAUAGCAGGGCCCACAUUACAGACUGCUGGAUCCAACCCAUAGGGACCGCCUACCCAGUUCUCUAUACACUGGUGAUAAAGAGCUGGACCCAAGACACUACCACCUUCCACAGUGGACCCAGCACCACUCCUAGGAGACACUCAAUGGAGGGUCUGGGCCACACAGUGACUGUAGAACCCCAGCAGGAGCAGGAAAGGAUGGCUGCCACCAUCCAUGCUUCAGGAGUGGUCUAGUGGGCUGGCCCCAGGCAGGCCAGACACAGCCUUCUGGGUCUCAGGGACAGAGGAGGCCCAAGAGCACCUGUCCCAACAAAGGGACAGAUGGACAGCUGCUGAAAGCACCAAGGCUCGACCAGGCCUGUCCUGCAGGACCAGUGUCCACUCCAGAGCACUUAAACCAGGAAACCCCAGCUGGACAAGAUACCACAGAGAGAGCCCAGUGGCCCAGGAGCCAGGGCUGGGCUGGCACUGGACAGAGGACCCGUGUGCCAUGGUCCUGUCCAGCAUGGGGAAGAUUCCAAGCCAGAGCCUCCAGUCAGGAAGAAUGACACAAGCAGGAAAGGAGAGCAGACACCACUCCAUGCUGCGGGAAAAGCCCAGGG
RNAcentral lists this long non-coding RNA (1175 nucleotides) under Heterocephalus glaber (naked mole-rat). RNAcentral's name for it is "lncRNA (ENSHGLG00100043867.1)". Lineage: Eukaryota; Metazoa; Chordata; Mammalia; Rodentia; Bathyergidae. The record is from RNAcentral.